GAGCAUGUGGUUUAAUUCGAAGCAACGCGAAGAACCUUACCUAAGCUUGACAUCCCAAUGACAUCUCCUUAAUCGGAGAGUUCCUUUCGGGGACAUUGGUGACAGGUGGUGCAUGGUUGUCGUCAGCCCGUGUCGUGAGAUGUUGGGUUAAGUCCCGCAACGAGCGCAACCCUUGUCUUUAGUUGCCAUCAUUAAGUUGGGCACUCUAGAGA
Molecule: ribosomal RNA, 212 nt
Filed under: Clostridioides difficile
Lineage: Bacteria; Bacillati; Bacillota; Clostridia; Peptostreptococcales; Peptostreptococcaceae
Description: partial 16S ribosomal RNA
Rfam family: Bacterial small subunit ribosomal RNA
Source: RNAcentral